UCACCGCUGAUGAGUCCCAAACAGGACGAAACAGUUGUCCAGUGC
RNAcentral lists this non-coding RNA (45 nucleotides) under Echinostoma caproni. The record is from RNAcentral. Lineage: Eukaryota; Metazoa; Platyhelminthes; Trematoda; Plagiorchiida; Echinostomatidae.